Molecule: long non-coding RNA, 334 nt
Organism: Vigna unguiculata (cowpea)
Lineage: Eukaryota; Viridiplantae; Streptophyta; Magnoliopsida; Fabales; Fabaceae
Source: RefSeq, a predicted model, not a curated record
AAGAGUUGCUACCACAAUGGUUUGCCCCAUUUGUUGCCUUCCUAGGUUGAAGACAACAAGGUUCAUGAAGUGGAAAAGGUUAUCAUUUGGAUGGACAACCCCAAUACCAGUUUUGUUCUCUGCCGGCAAAGGUUAAGGACUCUUGAUUGAUGGUGAGGGCUCUCUGCUCAAGCCUUAAAGGUAAAGGUCAGUUGCUUAUUAAGAAUUAGGGUCUACGUGAACAAAAUUGUUUUUUAAUACACUUUCCUUUCUACCAUCCUCGUGGGUUUGUAAUUGUAUUCACCUACAUCUACUUUCUCGGAAUUUUCUGCCACGCAGGGUGGCAUAUAUGUUA